CCGAUAAUUUACCUUUAUAUUUCAAAUUUACAGUUUGAAAAUUUAAAGUUAUUAUCCAAUUAACA
This 65-nucleotide transfer RNA is filed under the name Trichinella pseudospiralis. Its description in RNAcentral is "tRNA-Tyr". The record is from RNAcentral. Lineage: Eukaryota; Metazoa; Nematoda; Enoplea; Trichinellida; Trichinellidae.